Molecule: ribosomal RNA, 496 nt
Filed under: uncultured bacterium
Lineage: Bacteria
Description: partial 16S ribosomal RNA
Rfam family: Bacterial small subunit ribosomal RNA
Source: RNAcentral
GAUGAACGCUGGCGGCGUGCCUAAUACAUGCAAGUCGAGCGAACAGAUAAGGAGCUUGCUCCUUUGACGUUAGCGGCGGACGGGUGAGUAACACGUGGGUAACCUACCUAUAAGACUGGAAUAACUCCGGGAAACCGGGGCUAAUGCCGGAUAACAUUUAGAACCGCAUGGUUCUAAAGUGAAAGAUGGUUUUGCUAUCACUUAUAGAUGGACCCGCGCCGUAUUAGCUAGUUGGUAAGGUAACGGCUUACCAAGGCAACGAUACGUAGCCGACCUGAGAGGGUGAUCGGCCACACUGGAACUGAGACACGGUCCAGACUCCUACGGGAGGCAGCAGUAGGGAAUCUGCCGCAAUGGGCGAAAGCCUGACGGGGCAACGCCGCGUGAGUGAUGAAGGUCUUCGGAUCGUAAAACUCUGUUAUUAGGGAAGAACAAAUGUGUAAGUAACUGUGCACGUCUUGACGGUACCUAAGCAGAAAGCCACGGCUAACUACGU